Molecule: transfer RNA, 76 nt
Filed under: Streptomyces sp. YIM 121038
Lineage: Bacteria; Bacillati; Actinomycetota; Actinomycetes; Kitasatosporales; Streptomycetaceae
Description: tRNA-Val
Source: RNAcentral
UCCAUGCUGGCGUAGGAGCCGUCGAUGCCCACGGUGACGACGUGGGGGACGGCGGUCCGGGCACUGCCGAAGGGAG